The sequence is a regulatory RNA element, 101 nucleotides long. It matches the Rfam family "PyrR binding site". Rfam says of the family: This family represents the PyrR binding site and terminator structure. This RNA structure is found upstream of a variety of genes involved in pyrimidine biosynthesis and transport. The record is from Rfam.
AGCACCUUUAAAUCAGUCCAGAGAGUCUGAGAAGGGAACGGAUUAUUUUUUAAAAAAGAAACAGUUUAUUCUCCUGCCCUCUUUGGCAGGAGUUUUUUAUU